UACAGAGGGUGCAAGCGUUGUCCGGAAUCACUGGGCGUAAAGGGCGCGUAGGCGGCCUGGUAAGUCGGGGGUGAAACGCUGCGGCUCAACCGCAGCACUGCCUUCGAGACUGCCUGGCUCGAGCACAGUAGAGGCAGGUGGAAUUCCCGGUGUAGCGGUGGAAUGCGUAGAGAUCGGGAAGAACAUCGGUGGCGAAGGCGGCCUGCUGGGCUGUUGCUGACGCUGAGGCGCGACAGCGUGGGGAGCAAACAGG
This 253-nucleotide ribosomal RNA is filed under the name uncultured bacterium. Its description in RNAcentral is "partial 16S ribosomal RNA". It matches the Rfam family "Bacterial small subunit ribosomal RNA", at positions 524 to 776 of the family's 1533-position model. The record is from RNAcentral.